Molecule: ribosomal RNA, 406 nt
Filed under: uncultured bacterium
Lineage: Bacteria
Description: partial 16S ribosomal RNA
Rfam family: Bacterial small subunit ribosomal RNA
Source: RNAcentral
AUUGAACGCUGGCGGCAGGCCUAACACAUGCCAGUCGAACGAGUGGCGGACGGGUGAGUAAUGGCUGGGAAAAUGCCUGAUGGAGGGGUAUACCUACUGGAAACGGUAGCUAAUAAAGCAUACCCACGGAUGUGGACAGAUGGGAUUAGCUUGUCGGUGAGGUAACGGCUCACCUAGGCGACGAGACCGAGCUGGGCUGAGAGGAUGACCAGGCAGACUGGAACUGAGACACUGUCCCUACUCCUACGGUAGUCAGCAGGGGGGAGUAUUGCACAAUGGGCGCAAGACUGAUGAGGCCAUGGCGCGUGUAUGAAGAAGGCUUUCGGGUUGUAAAGUACUUUCGUCGGGGAGGCGUUGCCCGCACAGGAAGCACCGGCUAACUCCGUGCCAGCAGCCGCGGUAAUAC